UCGAUCAUCAGGUGACCAAAAGGGGGUAAACCCUAGCUUAUCAAACAUCUUCAAAAUUGAAAGGAAAUUGGAGCUCAAACUCUUGAAUAAACAUGAAUUAACGAUCACCCAAGCUAGGGGAUCGUAAGUUUGACGCUUGACAAGCUAGGUGGAGCUUGGGAAGGAAGCGGAUCAAACAAGCUAAGCAUGAAGAAAAGCAGAACCCGAUGCAAGGAAAUAACAUAUGUUGCGUUGCUUUAACUAGAAAAUUUAAAGCAAGAGGUAUGUAAACGGGUCAUUGCUAUGACCCGAGCCAG
Helianthus annuus (common sunflower) is the source of this 296-nucleotide long non-coding RNA. RefSeq lists it as uncharacterized. The transcript has 3 exons. Lineage: Eukaryota; Viridiplantae; Streptophyta; Magnoliopsida; Asterales; Asteraceae. The record is from RefSeq and is a predicted model, not a curated record.